AUGGAAAGUCGGACCUGCCCAGUGAUUAAUUUUCAACGGCCGCAGUACUCUGACUGUGCAAAGGUAGCAUAAUAAUUUGCCUUAUAAUUGAAGGCUGGAAUGAAUGGUUUGUCAAAGAUGAAACUGUCUCUAACUUGAUUUAUAGAAUUUUAUAUUUAAGUGAAAAAGCUUAAUUUAUAUUAAAAGACAAGAAGACCCUAUCGAGCUUGAAAAAAUUAAUAAAUAUCAUAUCUAUUUGGAAGUUUAAUUAUAAAUAAUUUUAGUUGGGGCAACUAAGGAGCAAAAAAAGCCUCCUUUAAAUAAAUAUACAAUUAAGUAGUGAUCCAAACAUUUUGAUUAAAAGAAAAAGUUACCGUAGGGAUAACAGCAUAAUUUUUUUUGAGAGCUCUAAUCGAAAAAAAAGUUUGUGACCUCGAUGUUGGACCAGAAUAUCCCAAAGAUGCAGAAGUCUUUAAAGGUUGGUCUGUUCGACCAUUAAAAUUCUA
This 485-nucleotide ribosomal RNA is filed under the name Daphnella corimbensis. RNAcentral describes it as "partial 16S ribosomal RNA". It matches the Rfam family "Bacterial large subunit ribosomal RNA", at positions 1845 to 2598 of the family's 2925-position model. The record is from RNAcentral. Lineage: Eukaryota; Metazoa; Mollusca; Gastropoda; Neogastropoda; Raphitomidae.